AUUGAACGCUGGCGGCAGGCCUAACACAUGCAAGUCGAGCGGAUGAAGGGAGCUUGCUCCUGGAUUCAGCGGCGGACGGGUGAGUAAUGCCUAGGAAUCUGCCUGGUAGUGGGGGAUAACGUCCGGAAACGGGCGCUAAUACCGCAUACGUCCUGAGGGAGAAAGUGGGGGAUCUUCGGACCUCACGCUAUCAGAUGAGCCUAGGUCGGAUUAGCUAGUUGGUGGGGUAAAGGCCUACCAAGGCGACGAUCCGUAACUGGUCUUAGAGGAUGAUCAGUCACACUGGAACUGAGACACGGUCCAGACUCCUACGGGAGGCAGCAGUGGGGAAUAUUGGACAAUGGGCGAAAGCCUGAUCCAGCCAUGCCGCGUGUGUGAAGAAGGUCUUCGGAUUGUAAAGCACUUUAAGUUGGGAGGAAGGGCAGUAAGUUAAUACCUUGCUGCUUUGACGUUACCAACAGAAUAAGCACCGGCUAACUUCGUG
This 484-nucleotide ribosomal RNA is filed under the name uncultured bacterium. Its description in RNAcentral is "partial 16S ribosomal RNA". It matches the Rfam family "Bacterial small subunit ribosomal RNA", at positions 30 to 507 of the family's 1533-position model. The record is from RNAcentral.